Molecule: unclassified non-coding RNA, 344 nt
Filed under: fungal sp.
Lineage: Eukaryota; Fungi
Description: partial internal transcribed spacer region
Rfam family: Eukaryotic small subunit ribosomal RNA (bases 1-46)
Source: RNAcentral
AAGUCGUAACAAGGUUUCCGUAGGUGAACCUGCGGAAGGAUCAUUAACACGUUUUCCAAACGUUAUUGACCCAUUCUAUUUUCCGUGCACACACACAUGCGUCCGGCCUCCCAGCCGCCUGCCGGGUUUACUCGGUAUGGCCUGUUGGGCGUCUUUGGGAUCAAAGGAGUUUGUAGGAGUAGCUUUCACGAGCGAUUCUUGCUUUCUUCUCCCUCUGGCGUUGCCACCUCACCCAAACCCUUUAAUCUAAUCUAUCUGAACUUUUAGUUGCUGAAGGAGAGCAAUCUCUGGAUACAACGAUUACAAACAAACAACAACUCUUAACAACGGAUAUCUUGGUUCUC